CGGUACAUCGGUGACAGGUGGUGCAUGGUUGUCGUCAGCUCGUGUCGUGAGAUGUUGGUAAGUCCCGCAACGAGCGCAACCCCUAUUGUUAGUUGCCAUCAUUCAGUUGGGCACUCUAGCGAGACUGCCGGUAAUAAACCGGAGGAAGGUGGGGAUGACGUCAAAUCAUCAUGCCCCUUAUGACCUGGGCUACACACGUGCUACAAUGGUUGGUACAACGAGUUGCGAGUCGGUGACGGCGAGCUAAUCUCUUAAAGCCAAUCUCAGUUCGGAUUGUAGGCUGCAACUCGCCUACAUGAAGUCGGAAUCGCUAGUAAUCGCGGAUCAGCACGCCGCGGUGAAUACGUUCCCGGGCCUU
Molecule: ribosomal RNA, 358 nt
Filed under: uncultured Streptococcus sp.
Lineage: Bacteria; Bacillati; Bacillota; Bacilli; Lactobacillales; Streptococcaceae
Description: bacterial SSU rRNA
Rfam family: Bacterial small subunit ribosomal RNA
Source: RNAcentral